RNAcentral lists this ribosomal RNA (456 nucleotides) under uncultured bacterium. RNAcentral describes it as "bacterial SSU rRNA". It matches the Rfam family "Bacterial small subunit ribosomal RNA", at positions 1 to 507 of the family's 1533-position model. The record is from RNAcentral.
CUAGACGAGUUUGAUCCUGGCUCAGAACGAACGCUGGCGGCAGGCUUAACACAUGCAAGUCGAACGCCCCGCAAGGGGAGUGGCAGACGGGUGAGUAACACGUGGGAACAUGCCCAAAGGUACGGAAUAUUCUCGGGAAACUGGGAGCAAUACCGUAUGUGCCCGAAAGGGGAAGAUUUAUCGCCUUUGGAUUGGCCCGCGUUGGAUUAGCUAGUUGGUGGGGUAAAAGCCUACCAAGGCGACGAUCCAUAGCUGGUCUGAGAGGACGACCAGCCACACUGGGACUGAGACACGGCCCAGACUCCUACGGGAGGCAGCAGUGGGGAAUCUUGGACAAUGGGCGCAAGCCUGAUCCAGCCAUGCCGCGUGAGUGAUGAAGGCCCUAGGGUUGUAAAACUCUUUCGUGGGGGGACGAUAAUGACGGUACCCCAAGAAGAAGCUCCGGCUAACUUCGUG